RNAcentral lists this ribosomal RNA (497 nucleotides) under uncultured bacterium. RNAcentral's name for it is "partial 16S ribosomal RNA". It matches the Rfam family "Bacterial small subunit ribosomal RNA", at positions 28 to 507 of the family's 1533-position model. The record is from RNAcentral.
GAUGAACGCUGGCGGCGUGCCUAAUACAUGCAAGUCGAGCGAACGGACGAGAAGCUUGCUUCUCUGAUGUUAGCGGCGGACGGGUGAGAAACACGUGGAUAACCUACCUAUAAGACUGGGAUAACUUCGGGAAACCGGAGCUAGUACCGGAUAAUAUUUUGAACCGCAUGGUUCAAAAGUGAAAGACGGUCUUGCUGUCACUUAUAGAUGGAUCCGCGCUGCAUUAGCUAGUUGGUAAGGUAACGGCUUACCAAGGCAACGAUGCAUAGCCGACCUGAGAGGGUGAUCGGCCACACUGGAACUGAGACACGGUCCAGACUCCUACGGGAGGCAGCAGUAGGGAAUCUUCCGCAAUGGGCGAAAGCCUGACGGAGCAACGCCGCGUGAGUGAUGAAGGUCUUCGGAUCGUAAAACUCUGUUAUUAGGGAAGAACAUAUGUGUAAGUAACUGUGCACAUCUUGACGGUACCUAAUCAGAAAGCCACGGCUAACUACGUG